UACGGGGGGGGCAAGCGUUGUUCGGAAUUACUGGGCGUAAAGGGCUCGUAGGCGGCCAACUAAGUCAGACGUGAAAUCCCUCGGCUUAACCGGGGAACUGCGUCUGAUACUGGAUGGCUUGAGUUUGGGAGAGGGAUGCGGAAUUCCAGGUGUAGCGGUGAAAUGCGUAGAUAUCUGGAGGAACACCGGUGGCGAAGGCGACAUCCUGGACCGGUAUUGACGCUGAGGCGCGAAAGCAUGGGGAGCGAACAGG
This 253-nucleotide ribosomal RNA is filed under the name uncultured bacterium. RNAcentral describes it as "partial 16S ribosomal RNA". It matches the Rfam family "Bacterial small subunit ribosomal RNA", at positions 524 to 776 of the family's 1533-position model. The record is from RNAcentral.